Molecule: ribosomal RNA, 467 nt
Filed under: uncultured bacterium
Lineage: Bacteria
Description: partial 16S ribosomal RNA
Rfam family: Bacterial small subunit ribosomal RNA
Source: RNAcentral
ACGAACGCUGGCGGCGUGCUUAACACAUGCAAGUCGCACGGAAAGGCCCUGCUUUUGUGGGGUGCUCGAGUGGCGAACGGGUGAGUAACACGUGAGUAACCUGCCCUUGACUUUGGGAUAACUUCAGGAAACUGGGGCUAAUACCGGAUAGGAGCUCCUGCUGCAUGGUGGGGGUUGGAAAGUUUCGGCGGUUGGGGAUGGACUCGCGGCUUAUCAGCUUGUUGGUGGGGUAGUGGCUUACCAAGGCUUUGACGGGUAGCCGGCCUGAGAGGGUGACCGGCCACAUUGGGACUGAGAUACGGCCCAGACUGCAACGGGAGGCAGCAGUGGGGAAUAUUGCACAAUGGGCGGGAGCCUGAUGCAGCAACGCCGCGUGCGGGAUGACGGCCUUCGGGUUGUAAACCGCUUUCGCCUGUGACGAAGCGUGAGUGACGGUAAUGGGUAAAGAAGCACCGGCUAACUACGUG